This 497-nucleotide ribosomal RNA is filed under the name uncultured bacterium. Its description in RNAcentral is "partial 16S ribosomal RNA". It matches the Rfam family "Bacterial small subunit ribosomal RNA", at positions 28 to 507 of the family's 1533-position model. The record is from RNAcentral.
GACGAACGCUGGCGGCGUGCCUAAUACAUGCAAGUUGAGCGAUGAAGAUUGGUGCUUGCACCAAUUUGAAGAGCAGCGAACGGGUGAGUAACGCGUGGGGAAUCUGCCUUUGAGCGGGGGACAACAUUUGGAAACGAAUGCUAAUACCGCAUAACAACUUUAAACAUAAGUUUUAAGUUUGAAAGAUGCAAUUGCAUCACUCAAAGAUGAUCCCGCGUUGUAUUAGCUAGUUGGUGAGGUAAAGGCUCACCAAGGCGAUGAUACAUAGCCGACCUGAGAGGGUGAUCGGCCACAUUGGGACUGAGACACGGCCCAAACGCCUACGGGAGGCAGCAGGAGGGAAUCUUCGGCAAUGGACGAAAGUCUGACCGAGAAACGCCGAGGGAGUGAAGAAGGUUGUCGGAUCGUAAAACUCGGUUGGUAGAGAAGAACGUUGGUGAGAGUGGAAAGCUCAUAAAGUGACGGUAACUACCCAGAAAGGGACGGCUAACUACGUG